AUGCGUCUUAUCUGAAGUCCUAGUUUAGUUUUGUAGCUUGAAUUGGGAGUUUCAAUAUUUAUAGACUUUUAUAUAUAUAAUAAAUCUUCCCUUCUUUUAUAUUAAGUUUUAAAGGUCAAGAAUAAAAAAAAAAUAAAAAAAAAAAAAAAUUCCGAGUUAUAUUUGCAAUGGACCUAUUUUAAAAUGGAAUUCAACUAAAAUUUAGGGUAUAAUCUUAUAUAACUAUGCAUUCUUUGUAAAGUGCAUAAAAACUAGCUUUAGAUGGAGGUUUUUUGAAUUGCAUACCUUCAUAAAUUAAUUUAUUUUUACAGAUCACAAUUCUGGAAAGAAGAAGGAAAAUAAGACGUGAAAAUGAGCAGUGCCCUCGCCGGGACUUCAACCUGGACCUCUUGAAUACGCACCGUGUGUGCUAUCGUUACAUCACGAAGGGAUGCUGGAAGAAGGAAGGAAAUGCCUUAUAUACCACCCCUUUUUAAAGAGCGACUGUGGAUUAGGAGAACCAGUCGCCAAAUCCUGGUGGUGAGAAAUUAUUGUCCACCACUUUGUCAUGAGAAAGAAAGUUACAUUAGAAGACGAUGAGGUUACUGAAAUGAUCUUAAAGCAGUCAUUUCACACUAAUAGCGGCAUGCUAUUCGUACAAAUACGAAAAUCGCACUACACAAAAGCUUUGGUUGACUGUAUCUCCGGAAUCACAUACAUGGUUUGUAGUGAUACACCGCUUGCUACUGUGACAAUUUAUGGUGUGCAACUGACGGUUAAAUAUGAUUUCCCAAAACCCAUAGACCCGGCAGAUGACUGAUCUUUAUUGCAGUUCCUACAGUACUUUGGUAGCAUGUAAUGGCAUCUGUAGCAAGUAAUAGUGAUUGAUAAUUGGAAUAAUAAAAAUAUUAAUUUUCAUUUAA
Molecule: long non-coding RNA, 902 nt
Organism: Stegodyphus dumicola
Lineage: Eukaryota; Metazoa; Arthropoda; Arachnida; Araneae; Eresidae
Source: RefSeq, a predicted model, not a curated record